UCUUCCUGGCUUCAUGUCAUCUUGGGUUCACAUCAUCCUGGCUCCAAGGAUGAAGGUCAGCAAAUCUCCCAGAGCUGCGAUGCCUGAAGGUCAGCAUCUACGUCGUUUGAAACUAGUUCCCAGGAUUCUUGUACAAACAUGCUGUUCUUUUAUAAGCUACAUAUUAGUCAGAGUCAG
This is a long non-coding RNA of Phyllostomus discolor (pale spear-nosed bat), 177 nucleotides long. RefSeq lists it as uncharacterized. Lineage: Eukaryota; Metazoa; Chordata; Mammalia; Chiroptera; Phyllostomidae. The record is from RefSeq and is a predicted model, not a curated record. The transcript is spliced from 3 exons.